Molecule: long non-coding RNA, 332 nt
Organism: Monopterus albus (swamp eel)
Lineage: Eukaryota; Metazoa; Chordata; Actinopteri; Synbranchiformes; Synbranchidae
Exons: 3
Source: RefSeq, a predicted model, not a curated record
AGACAAUCUCAGAAAGAGCAAAGACAGUGACGCACAGACAAUGAGAUUGAGUGUGGCAGAAAUGAAAAAGAUGAGAGAAGUACUGACUUCACAGCAACACUUCUUUUUAUCGGUGGGAACACAUCGGCCGUCACCAGAGGCUAGUUCAUGAGGCCAGACAAGAAACCCGGAAUCCAGCCACACAAAGCUACACAACUGUGUGCAACGUGGCAUGUCUCCUGCAGGCCAUCAUCACCUGGACAACACAAUAGGCUGAAAAGCUUAGAAGAUAAACCAUUUAUUCUCUUCCAUGUUCCACCAAUUACCCUCGGAUCUUGGCCGGUGGUGGGAGU